Molecule: long non-coding RNA, 1619 nt
Organism: Cyprinus carpio (common carp)
Lineage: Eukaryota; Metazoa; Chordata; Actinopteri; Cypriniformes; Cyprinidae
Exons: 3
Source: RefSeq, a predicted model, not a curated record
ACUUGAUUGACCUCCUCUCCAAGAAAAGAAAAUGCAGAGAAGACUCACCACUCGGCAGGCCGUGGAAAUGAUCCUGAGUGAAGUAAACCCUUGUGAUUCAGAUGGAGAAGACAUAGAACUUCAGCCGGAUUCGGACUCAGAUCUGUCUGAUCUGUCUUCAGAUGAGGAGACUGCUCCUCAACCAAAAAAGAGAGCCCGUUUGGGGAAUGACCUGACAGAGACAGCGAAAGAUGGCACAGUGUGGCGUGAAGAACAGGUGGGGACGCGUCUCCCUUUCACCCCAAUCAAAGCGUAUGCUGCAGAUGGAGAGCCAACGGCUAAGGCCAGGAAAAGUAUCUCGAGUCGCCUUCAGAGCUUCCUGUGUUUCAUUACUCUUGACAUGCUUCAUAGCAUUCAAGAAUGGACUAUUCAACAUGCACAGGAAACGGAGCAUGUUCAUUGGUUCAUGGCCCUCCCUGAACUAAUGGCAUUUAUUGCAAUUGUCAUCUUGCGGGGGCGUACCAAGGUUCCAUCACUACGUGACUGCUGGUCAGCAAACCUGGGAAACCCACAUAUCAUUGGAACAAUGCCAUGAAACCGCUUCCAAGACAUCAUGCGACACCUACGCUUUGAUGACAGGUCCACCCGGAGUGAUCGAGCAAAGACUGAUAAGUUUGCUGCAAUUUCCAGUGUGUGGGGAUCAUUUGUCACCAAUUGCAUCACGUCCUACAACCCUGGUCUACAUAUCACCGUUGAUGAACAGCUUUUCCCGUCAAAGACUCUCUGCUGUUUCCUGCAGUAUAUUGCAACUAAACCUGACAAGUUUGGGAUCAAGUUUUGGGUGGCUUGCGACCUAAAAUCCAAGUACAUUUGUAAUGUCCUCCCAUAUCUUGGCAAGGACCCUAGUCGUCCCAGUGGAGAGAGACUGUCUGAAAAUGUAGUGAUGAGGCUGAUGGAACCAUUCCUAGACAAGGGCAGAAAUGUUACCACGGACAAUUUGAAUUCACCACUCAGGUGUUUUCAACCACUGCUACUACGCUGACGGCGUAUGCGCCCAAACGGAAGAAGACCGUCUACAUUCUUAGCAGCAUGCACAGCAUGAUUCAGACUGAUAAUACCACCAAAAGGAAGCCAAGCACUGUCACCCUUUACAACACCACAAAGUGCGGCGUGGAUGUGAUGGACCAGAUGGUGCGGGAGUACACUGUCCGCACAGGGACAUGGCGCUGGCCAGUUGCCGUGUUCUAUAACAUGAUUGACAUGGCAGCACUGAAUGCACCUGUGCUGUAUCAAGCAUGCACCGGAAGGCAGGAAAGACGGGUGGACUUCCUGGUGGAGCUUGCAAGAGAGUUGGCUAACUCUCAUAUGUGUGCGAAGAAGGCAAGAAAAGAAUAAUUGCUUCGGACACAACCCUCCACACCUAGCCCUGGAAAAAGAGCCAUGUGUCAGGUCAAACACCAAUGCAAGAACAAUCAUGCCACUGUGUGAUGUGUUCACUGCUACAGAUACACAUGUGGUAAAUGCAGACGGGAGAUACCAUGGCAGUGCCAGGAUUGUGAGUGAUUGCUGGAAUGUACUCACUCACUUUUUAAUAUUAUUUUUAAAUAUGUGUACAAAUGGUUGGUUUCUUUAUUUUUAUU